GAUAAACGCUGGCGGCGUGCUUAACACAUGCAAGUCGAACGAAGUUUUUCCUUCGGGAGCAACUUAGUGGCGGACGGGUGAGUAACGCGUGGGUAACCUGCCCUGUACAGGGGGACAACAGCUGGAAACGGCUGCUAAUACCGCAUAAGCACUUAGCACUGCAUGGUGCAUAGGGAAAAGGAGCAAUCCGGUACAGGAUGGACCCGCGUCUGAUUAGCCAGUUGGCAGGGUAACGGCCUACCAAAGCGACGAUCAGUAGCCGAUCUGAGAGGAUGUACGGCCACAUUGGGACUGAGACACGGCCCAGACUCCUACGGGAGGCAGCAGUGGGGAAUAUUGCACAAUGGAGGAAACUCUGAUGCAGCGACGCCGCGUGAGUGAAGAAGUAUUUCGGUAUGUAAAGCUCUAUCAGCAGGGAAGAAAAUGACGGUACCUUACUAAGAAGCACCGGCUAAAUACGUG
RNAcentral lists this ribosomal RNA (462 nucleotides) under uncultured bacterium. Its description in RNAcentral is "partial 16S ribosomal RNA". It matches the Rfam family "Bacterial small subunit ribosomal RNA", at positions 28 to 507 of the family's 1533-position model. The record is from RNAcentral.